CAAGGAAUAGUUUAAUUAGAAUGUCAGCUUUGGGUGUUGAUGGCGGAGUCUUAAUUCUUCUUCCUUGA
Molecule: transfer RNA, 68 nt
Filed under: Tupaia nicobarica (Nicobar tree shrew)
Lineage: Eukaryota; Metazoa; Chordata; Mammalia; Scandentia; Tupaiidae
Description: tRNA-Pro
Rfam family: tRNA
About the family: Transfer RNA (tRNA) molecules are approximately 80 nucleotides in length. Their secondary structure includes four short double-helical elements and three loops (D, anti-codon, and T loops).
Source: RNAcentral